AAUCAACGCUGGCGGCGUGCCUCAGACAUGCAAGUCGAACGAUUAAGACUUCCUUCGGGAAGUGUAUAAAGUGGCGCACGGGUGAGUGACACGUAAGUAAUCUACCCUCGAGUGGGGAAUAACGUUCGGAAACGAACGCUAAUACCGCAUAACGCAGCGGCACCGCAAGGUGACAGUUGUUAAAGGAGUAAUUCGCUUGA
This 200-nucleotide ribosomal RNA is filed under the name uncultured bacterium. Its description in RNAcentral is "partial 16S ribosomal RNA". It matches the Rfam family "Bacterial small subunit ribosomal RNA", at positions 32 to 222 of the family's 1533-position model. The record is from RNAcentral.